CACGUAGGGCGCGAGCGUUGUCCGGAAUCAUUGGGCGUAAAGGGCUCGUAGGCGGCCUGUUGCGUCCGCUGUGAAAGCCCGGGGCUUAACCCCGGGUCGGCAGUGGAUACGGGCAGGCUAGAGGUAGGUAGGGGAGAAUGGAAUUCCCGGUGUAGCGGUGAAAUGCGCAGAUAUCGGGAGGAACACCGGUGGCGAAGGCGGUUCUCUGGGCCUUACCUGACGCUGAGGAGCGAAAGCGUGGGGAGCGAACAGG
This 253-nucleotide ribosomal RNA is filed under the name uncultured bacterium. RNAcentral describes it as "partial 16S ribosomal RNA". It matches the Rfam family "Bacterial small subunit ribosomal RNA", at positions 524 to 776 of the family's 1533-position model. The record is from RNAcentral.